RNAcentral lists this ribosomal RNA (253 nucleotides) under uncultured bacterium. Its description in RNAcentral is "partial 16S ribosomal RNA". It matches the Rfam family "Bacterial small subunit ribosomal RNA", at positions 524 to 776 of the family's 1533-position model. The record is from RNAcentral.
UACAGAGGUCUCAAGCGUUGUUCGGAUUCAUUGGGCGUAAAGGGUGCGUAGGCGGCGCGGUAAGUCGGGUGUGAAAUCUUGGAGCUUAACUCCGAAACUGCAUUCGAUACUGCCGUGCUUGAGGACUGGAGAGGAGACUGGAAUUUACGGUGUAGCGGUGAAAUGCGUAGAUAUCGUAAGGAAGACCAGUGGCGAAGGCGGGUCUCUGGACAGUUCCUGACGCUGAGGCGCGAAAGCGUGGGGAGCAAACAGG